Molecule: ribosomal RNA, 293 nt
Filed under: uncultured Bacteroidota bacterium
Lineage: Bacteria; Pseudomonadati; Bacteroidota
Description: uncultured Bacteroidetes bacterium partial 16S ribosomal RNA
Rfam family: Bacterial small subunit ribosomal RNA
Source: RNAcentral
AAGUCGAGGGGCAGCGGGAUUGAAGCUUGCUCUCUUCAGCCGGCGACCGGCGCACGGGUGAGUAACACGUAUGCAACCUGGCCCGCGGACGGGGAUAACCCGGUGAAAACCGGACUAAUACCCGGCGACGCGCCGAGAGGGCAUCCUCUCGGCGCCGAAGGAAGGGAUUCCGCCGCGGGAUGGGCAUGCGGCGCAUUAGGCAGUUGGCGGGGUAACGGCCCACCAAACCUACGAUGCGUAGGGGUUCUGAGAGGAAGGUCCCCACACUGGAACUGAGACACGGUCCAGACUCC